Molecule: long non-coding RNA, 1059 nt
Filed under: Lonchura striata (white-rumped munia)
Lineage: Eukaryota; Metazoa; Chordata; Aves; Passeriformes; Estrildidae
Description: domestica (Bengalese finch) lncRNA (ENSLSDG00000008739.1)
Source: RNAcentral
AAGCAGCUCCAAACUGGGGGGGGGUCUCUGGGGGUCCCGGGGGACUUUUGGGGGGGUCCCAAAGGGGAGACUCGCCCCCCCCCCCCCAAUUCCAUCCCGGGGGCGCAGCGGGACCCCAACACUGCCACUGCCACCCGCUCCGCCCACAGCCUGCCUCAGUUUCCCUGCGGGAUGGGCCGGGACUGGGAUAAACUGGGAUAAACUGGGACUGGGACGGACUGGGACUGGGAUGGACUGGGAUAAACUGGGACUGGGAUAAACUGGGAUGGACUGGGACUGGGAUAAACUGGGACUGGGAUGGACUGGGACUGGGAUGGACUGGGAUGGACUGGGACUGGGAUAAACUGGGAUGGACUGGGACUGGGAUAAACUGGGACGGACUGGGACUGGGAUGGACUGGGAUAAACUGGGACUGGGAUAAACUGGGAUGGACUGGGACUGGGAUAAACUGGGACUGGGAUAAACUGGGAUGAAUUGGGACUGGGAUAAACUGGGACUGGGAUGGACUGGGAUAAACUGGGACCGGGAUGGACUGGCAUAAACUGGGAUAAACUGGGACUGGGACUGGGCUGGUCCCACUCCGGGACAUUCCCCACGGGAUCAGGGAGCUCCGAUACCGGAAAGUUCCACCACGGGAAUGCCGAUACUGGGAUGAUCCCACAGAGGAUCCCACAGAGGAUCCCACAGACGGUCCCACACCGGGAUGCUCCAAGCCCGGAAUGUCCCAGCCUGGGGAUGCUCCGUUACCGGGAUGCUCCAAGAUCGGAGGGAUCCAGGACCGGAACGCUCCGACACCGGAACGAUCCGACACCGAUUCCGGAACGUUCCAGCAGAUGCUCUGACACUGGAAUGAUCCAAUUCCAGAACAAUCCAGCAGAUGUUCCGACACCGGAAUGAUCCGAUCCCGGAAUGAUCCGGUCCCGGAAGGCCCCGGCCGUGGGACGCUUCAGCCCCGACCCCGGGAUGUUCCCGCUUUUGGGAUGUUCCCGCGUUUGGGAUGUUCCCGCUUUUGGGAUGUUCCCGCUCUUGGGAUGUUCCCGCUUUUGGGAUGUUCCCGCU